UAAUAAGAACACCUGUCCUCUAGUCACUAUACCUAGAUCAUCAGCUAAUUUCAUAGGGCCAUCAAAAGCUCAGUUGGUUAUCAGUGAUGACCUUUGCUGAAUUCCAGCUGGUGACAUUGAGAUGGAAAGCUAUGCUUGCUAUUACCAGCCGCAAUCAGAUGGUACAUCUGGAAGGUCUUGGACCCCUGAAGAUAUUCGAGUUGUUGGACCUCCUUUCCACUGGGCUGCUUCUCAGACUGGAGUUACUUUACAGGCAGAACGGUUACAGUCUGUUGUUUUAUUUUGGAUAUGGAAAUUUGGCUCCAGACAGCAUGAGUGACAUCCUUUUACUGAGCAAAGUGUGGAUGUGAGGCCUUCUACAUCAGCUGUUUUGUUCUGCAGACCUACUGCAAAGCUACACUGCUAAUCCAUACACAACCCUGAAGGCCAUGGAGUAUCUAACUCGGAAAAUGCUGAACUUCUUUGAAAGUCUUUAGGCAAGAGGGAGAAAGACUGGGAUUCCACCCUGCGUGGUUAAAUGUAGGUAUCUUAAAGACUAUUCAACAAGUCCUUUUGAAGAUAGGUAGCAUCAUGGGCAAAAUGGACCUUGACACAUUUACACAUUUUUAUUUGUCUGAAAGAAAUCUCUAGAGGGUAAUUUCAUUGUCAAUUUAGCACAGAAAUAUAAAUGGUCAUCAUGACUACAAAUGAAAUAUGACGGUACCUUAAAAAAUUAAAAAGUCAUUCUCUUAGACUGUGUCUGUGCAUGUAAACAAAACAGGACAAGGGAAAGAGUGCAGACUCUGCGUGGGUGGUCUUGGACCCUAUUUGAGCCCAUGGGUUUUUAGGCUAUGCUCACUGGAGCUGCCUGGAUGAGGCUUGGGCACAGGCCUUGGCAGUGUCAGUGAAAAGACAUCAGGAAGGGCCCUCUCCAUUUUCCAUAGUCCUCCACUUCUGCUGCAGCUGGCUUUUGUGUCCUCCAAACACUCCUAUGUGCCUUUGUGCUGCUUUCCACAGCGUGGAGGCACAUGGGCUGCAACAAACUGCACAACAGGUUUCAGAUUAUAUGAGUUUAAAAGCACACAAGAUAUAACUACAUAUUAGGGCCAUAAAAGUAAUACAUGAAACCUGGUGGAGGCACAGGCCAUUUUCACCUUCACUGUGAUUCCACUUGGUAUUUUGUCCAUGAAGUCAUUUUGAUUUCAUUCAGUCCAAAUGUCUGCUUCAUUAAAAAGUGCAGAGCCAUAAAUAAACCUUAGAGAAGAAAAAGAAAGAAUUUCAAGCCUUAGGUAUUUUACAUAAUAGUUUUCCUAGAAAGGUAUUUUCCUGUUUUAGUGUCUCCAUUUCAUUGUUAUUCUUGUCAAUUAUAAACACAUUAUUGUCUGAUGUGGUUUUUAUUUCCUCACAAAUGAAUAAAAGCCAUGGUGUUUAAAAAGCAAUCUCUAUACAGAGUGGGAGGAAUUGAAACUGAAUCAAUGAGGAAGGAAGACUGUCUCUUUCUGGGUUUGUUUUGCCUCCUCACAUUAAAACAUGUUUUGAAGAACCUAGUGGGGUGCUGAAAGCUGGAUAAUUUUUAUCAAGAUGUUUUGUUUGUGUACUGCUGGUGUUUCUUAACUAUGUGCACAAGAUAAAAGACUGUAAUAUGUCUCCCAAUAAAAUCUUUAACCUUUAGUAA
Molecule: long non-coding RNA, 1654 nt
Organism: Passer domesticus (house sparrow)
Lineage: Eukaryota; Metazoa; Chordata; Aves; Passeriformes; Passeridae
Exons: 3
Source: RefSeq, a predicted model, not a curated record